This is a long non-coding RNA of Neopelma chrysocephalum (saffron-crested tyrant-manakin), 755 nucleotides long. RefSeq lists it as uncharacterized. NCBI's taxonomy places the organism in Eukaryota, Metazoa, Chordata, Aves, Passeriformes, Pipridae. The record is from RefSeq and is a predicted model, not a curated record. The transcript is spliced from 4 exons.
UCUAAGGCAGCAGAAAAGUUGUGCAUGUGUAUUUAUUUUUUCUAACUAACAUUUUUUUCUAUUAUUUUUAUUUCCAACUGACUCAGUUUUAUUUUAAUCGAGAGCCCUUAGGACUAGUUGUAACGAUAUGAAUGGUUAAAGUGGGAAGAGCUCAAGGCUCGAGAAUACUCUCUCCUCGGAAGAAAAUACCAGACAUCCCAGAGAAACAGCCGUGCAGAGCUGAAAAGUUUGGAGCUGUGCUGCAGCUCGGUUCUGGUACUGCCCUCAGGACUCCCAAAUUCCCAGGCAACGGCCACACAAGCGAUGAUGACAACAGCAGCAAAUACGAGGCUCCUCGCCGCCUGCUCUAUUUGAAAGCAAACCCGCUCUCUUUUUCGUCAGGCAACCCCAGACAGAAGUGGCAACUAAAGCUUUAAACCCUUUGGAAAUUCCUUUCUGAUUUAAGAGAGCCAGGGGGCUUUCGUCCUCUCCCUGCCGUUGGUUGUGAGGAAGGGCAACAAAAGAGAGGAGCCAGACUUUGCCAGGUGUCAGGAAGAUGAGUCUUUAUCGAAGAGUAACCAGCAUUGCCACUCUCCAUAGGCCCUUUACCACCUUUGAAAGAGACUUUCUUGGUGCCUGCAAGAAUCUCGGGCUGCACCCAAGGAGUUUCUGUGGAGUACGUUUCUCCUGGAUGACUUAAAAAAGUGACAGCAGAUUACUGUGGAUGUUCUAAGUUCCCAAGCAAGGAUACCAGCAUGACUUCAACUGGGACACAC